RNAcentral lists this ribosomal RNA (256 nucleotides) under uncultured bacterium. Its description in RNAcentral is "partial 16S ribosomal RNA". It matches the Rfam family "Bacterial small subunit ribosomal RNA", at positions 524 to 777 of the family's 1533-position model. The record is from RNAcentral.
UACGGGGGGAGCAAGCGUUGUUCGGAUUUACUGGGCGUAAAGGGCGCGUAGGCGGCCACCGCAAGUCGAUUGUGAAAUCUCCGGGCUUAACUCCGGAAAGGUCAACCGAUACUGCGGGGCUAGAGUGCAGAAGGGGCAACUGGAAUUCUCGGUGUAGCGGUGAAAUGCGUAGAUAUCGAGAGGAACACCUGCGGCGAAGGCGGGUUGCUGGGCUGACACUGACGCUGAUGUGCGAAAGCUAGGGGAGCGAACGGGG